Molecule: long non-coding RNA, 350 nt
Filed under: Gallus gallus (chicken)
Lineage: Eukaryota; Metazoa; Chordata; Aves; Galliformes; Phasianidae
Description: long non-coding RNA NONGGAT003788
Source: RNAcentral
CUUCACCAAAUUGGAUCAAGAAAAACAGCAGUGAAGUUUAAAAUCUUCUCAUCAUUGUCACUGACAACAUUUUAAAAUCAGAAGCAGACCAUGCAGUUCAGUCUCUUCGUAUUCUGUAGCAAAACUGACAACAUGCACUGACAGACCAUUUGGUGAGGAUGGACAGCUACGCACUAAGACAUUUACCCAAACCAACAAUAUAUUACUUCUAGGCCACUCAAUAGUCAUCUCAUACUGGUGAAACAAUUGUGCAACUACAUGCAAAUGUUAGUGCAGUGACCCUUUUGUUGUUGUUGUUGUUUUGUUACUUGUUAAGCCAUGUAGAACCCUGAUUUCUAGGUCACUGUUCA